GGGUUAGUGGUCUAGUGGUAUGAUUCUCGCUUAGGGUGCGAGAGGUCCGGGGUUCAAUUCCCGGCUAACCCC
Trichuris trichiura (human whipworm) is the source of this 72-nucleotide non-coding RNA. The record is from Rfam. NCBI's taxonomy places the organism in Eukaryota, Metazoa, Nematoda, Enoplea, Trichinellida, Trichuridae.